RNAcentral lists this ribosomal RNA (484 nucleotides) under uncultured bacterium. RNAcentral describes it as "partial 16S ribosomal RNA". It matches the Rfam family "Bacterial small subunit ribosomal RNA", at positions 30 to 507 of the family's 1533-position model. The record is from RNAcentral.
AUUGAACGCUGGCGGCAGGCCCAACACAUGCAAGUCGAGCGGAUGAAGGGAGCUUGCUCCUGGAUUCAGCGGCGGACGGGUGAGUAAUGCCUAGGAAUCUGCCUGGUAGUGGGGGAUAACGUCCGGAAACGGGCGCUAAUACCGCAUACGUCCUGAGGGAGAAAGUGGGGGAUCUUCGGACCUCACGCUAUCAGAUGAGCCUAGGUCGGAUUAGCUAGUUGGUGGGGUAAAGGCCUACCAAGGCGACGAUCCGUAACUGGUCUGAGAGGAUGAUCAGUCACACUGGAACUGGGACACGGUCCAGACUCCUACGGGAGGCAGCAGUGGGGAAUAUUGGACAAUGGGCGAAAGCCUGAUCCAGCCAUGCCGCGUGUGUGAAGAAGGUCUUCGGAUUGUAAAGCACUUUAAGUUGGGAGGAAGGGCAGUAAGUUAAUACCUUGCUGUUUUGACGUUACCAACAGAAUAAGCACCGGCUAACUUCGUG